AACGCGAAGAACCUUACCAGGUCUUGACAUCCUCUGACAAUCCUAGAGAUAGGACGUCCCUUCGGGGGCAGAGUGACAGGUGGUGCAUGGUUGUCGUCAGCUCGUGUCGUGAGAUGUUGGGUUAAGUCCCGCAACGAGCGCAACCCUUGAUCUUAGUUGCCAGCAUUCAGUUGGGCACUCUAAGGUGACUGCCGGUGACAAACCGGAGGAAGGUGGGGAUGACGUCAAAUCAUCAUGCCCCUUAUGACCUGGGCUACACACGUGCUACAAUGGACAGAACAAAGGGCAGCGAAACCGCGAGGUUAAGCCAAUCCCACAAAUCUGUUCUCAGUUCGGAUCGCAGUCUGCAACUCGACUGCGUGAAGCUGGAAUCGCUAGUAAUCGCGGAUCAGCAUGCCGCGGUGAAUACGUUCCCGGGUCUUGUACACACCG
RNAcentral lists this ribosomal RNA (432 nucleotides) under Bacillus sp. BRM 033721. RNAcentral describes it as "bacterial SSU rRNA". It matches the Rfam family "Bacterial small subunit ribosomal RNA", at positions 958 to 1392 of the family's 1533-position model. The record is from RNAcentral. Lineage: Bacteria; Bacillati; Bacillota; Bacilli; Caryophanales; Bacillaceae.